RNAcentral lists this ribosomal RNA (464 nucleotides) under uncultured bacterium. RNAcentral describes it as "partial 16S ribosomal RNA". It matches the Rfam family "Bacterial small subunit ribosomal RNA", at positions 339 to 795 of the family's 1533-position model. The record is from RNAcentral.
CUACGGGACGCUGCAGUGGGGAAUAUUGCACAAUGGUCGCAAGCCUGAUGCAGCCAUGCCGCGUGUAUGAAGAAGGCCUUCGGGUUGUAAAGUACUUUCAGCGGGGAGGAAGGGAGUAAAGUUAAUACCUUUGCUCAUUGACGUUACCCGCAGAAGAAGCACCGGCUAACUCCGUGCCAGCAGCCGCGGUAAUACGGAGGGUGCAAGCGUUAAUCGGAAUUACUGGGCGUAAAGCGCACGCAGGCGGUUUGUUAAGUCAGAUGUGAAAUCCCCGGGCUCAACCCGGGAACUGCAUCUGAUACUGGCAAGCUUGAGUCUCGUAGAGGGGGGUAGAAUUCCAGGUGUAGCGGUGAAAUGCGUAGAGAUCUGGAGGAAUACCGGUGGCGAAGGCGGCCCCCUGGUCGAAGACUGACGCUCAGGUGCGAAAGCGUGGGGAGCAAACAGGAUUAGAUACCCGCGUAGUC